This 1466-nucleotide long non-coding RNA is filed under the name Daphnia pulicaria. Its description in RNAcentral is "uncharacterized LOC124341500, transcript variant X1". Lineage: Eukaryota; Metazoa; Arthropoda; Branchiopoda; Diplostraca; Daphniidae. The record is from RNAcentral.
AGGCCAGUCAUGAAAAUAACUGUUGUCAGUUGUCUCCUUCUUUACUAUCGUUGAAAAAAUAUGGCGGUUGGUGACCACGUUAUGAUUUGGAUGAUUUGGAUUGUCAACGGUACUUUCCGUGUGUGUUGACCUACAGUAACAAUACCCACGGAUAACAAAAGACGUUUACAUCAAAAGUUCGUAAGAAAGAAAGCUUUUGAAUAAAUUUACGAAAAGGACGAAAAGACCUUGCGAAAUGUGAACGUACGGUAUGAAUGCAGGAUAUCAGCCAGAGGUCAUUCAGGCCCACUUUAAAUUAAACAAGAUAAGCAUGUUCUAUGAGGACCUUGGAGAGUAUGAAAAGUGAUACCAGUUAUCUUUGAUAGCUGCACAUUUAUCUCCUCAAGAUGCCGAUGAAUGGCUACGAUUAGCCGAGGUUUGUUUGAGUAAAAAUUCCAAUCCCAAAAUUCCUCUUCUUCUAACUUCUAAGAGACUGUUCUUCUAUUAGCAGUUAUAAACGAAGUGAAUUUAGACUGAGGCAAAUUCAAAAUAUUCAACUAAAACUCCCUGCAUAGAUAUGGUGUAUGUUUUAUUGUAAAGUUUAUACUAAUUCCUUUUAUUUCUCCUUUAGGUCAUGAUCAGAACUAUGGAAAAUAUUCUGUCCACCAGGGAAUGACGCCUUAGGACUUAGGAGAAAGAACUGCGGUUGCGAUCUUCAACAAUAUUGCGUAACAUAUUGCGUGAGCAUGAAUUUUGAUGCUGAAAGACUUGGAAAGUGUGGAAACCAUGCUGUCCACCACGCCGAGAAGCUGAAUAACAUUCUGCAUGUACAAUGUUCUGAAUGGCAGCUCUUAAUGUAAGGAACUUAAGCCAUCCAAUCUAGGACUUGCAUCCAAUUGUGCAGGCUGCUUGGAAGUCUCGUUUACCUUUGCUGUGAACAUCAUGAUCACAGGAAGGUUCAUGUUUACAUAGCAUGGUGUUGCUGUCCAAUGUGGCGUGUUGUUGCAGCCUAUGGUGGUGACAAAUAUCUGCAUCAAGUUGCUGUUUCUUGUGCAUCCAAGGUGCUGGUUUUGUGCUACAGAAGUUACAUCCAGUUUUGUGUUUAAUUGCCAUUCUUGUCUAUGCAGUUUACCUUUUAUAUAUUGAGAAGGAACAAAAAAAAGUAAUAUGCGGAGGUUUAUGUCAAACAAAUAAUAAACAUGUCCGCGAUUGGGGAAUGAGGAAGAAGUUGGGGUGGGAUACUUGAUUAUGAUUUACUUAAAGAAGUGAGGUAUAUUUUUAAUAAAUAUGCAGUACUUGGUGAUAGAAUCUGUUCACCUAUGUAACCUUCCCCAUAUCCACUCCUCAAACCCCUUAAGUACCAACAUCAAAUCCCACAUCCACUUACAUCCAUUCCUCAAACCCCACAUUACCGAAUCAAACCCACACAAUUGUUGUAUAUCUAUGUACAUAUAUAUAUUUAAAUAAAUAAAAUGUCAAUUUACAUA